CGUACACGGUGGAUGCCCUGGCAGUCAGAGGCGAUGAAGGACGUGCUAAUCUGCGAUAAGCGCCGGUAAGGUGAUAUGAACCGUUAUAACCGGCGAUUUCCGAAUGGGGAAACCCAGUGUGAUUCGUCACACUAUCAUUAACUGAAUCCAUAGGUUAAUGAGGCGAACCGGGGGAACUGAAACAUCUAAGUACCCCGAGGAAAAGAAAUCAACCGAGAUUCCCCCAGUAGCGGCGAGCGAACGGGGAGGAGCCCAGAGCCUGAAUCAGCAUGUGUGUUAGUGGAAGCGUCUGGAAAGGCGCGCGAUACAGGGUGACAGCCCCGUACACAAAAGCGCAUGUGCUGUGAGCUCGAUGAGUAGGGCGGGACACGUGGUAUCCUGUCUGAAUAUGGGGGGACCAUCCUCCAAGGCUAAAUACUCCUGACUGACCGAUAGUGAACCAGUACCGUGAGGGAAAGGCGAAAAGAACCCCGGCGAGGGGAGUGAAAAAGAACCUGAAACCGUGUACGUACAAGCAGUGGGAGCACCCUUCGGGGUGUGACUGCGUACCUUUUGUAUAAUGGGUCAGCGACUUAUAUUCUGUAGCAAGGUUAACCGUAUAGGGGAGCCGGAGGGAAACCGAGUCUUAACCGGGCGUUAAGUUGCAGGGUAUAGACCCGAAACCCGGUGAUCUAGCCAUGGGCAGGUUGAAGGUUGGGUAACACUAACUGGAGGACCGAACCGACUAAUGUUGAAAAAUUAGCGGAUGACCUGUGGCUGGGGGUGAAAGGCCAAUCAAACCGGGAGAUAGCUGGUUCUCCCCGAAAGCUAUUUAGGUAGCGCCUCGUGAAUUCAUCUCCGGGGGUAGAGCACUGUUUCGGCUAGGGGGCCAUCCCGGCUUACCAACCCGAUGCAAACUGCGAAUACCGGAGAAUGUUAUCACGGGAGACACACGGCGGGUGCUAACGUCCGUCGUGAAGAGGGAAACAACCCAGACCGCCAGCUAAGGUCCCAAAGUCAUGGUUAAGUGGGAAACGAUGUGGGAAGGCCCAGACAGCCAGGAUGUUGGCUUAGAAGCAGCCAUCAUUUAAAGAAAGCGUAAUAGCUCACUGGUCGAGUCGGCCUGCGCGGAAGAUGUAACGGGGCUAAACCAUGCACCGAAGCUGCGGCAGCGAACGUAUCACCCAAGACAACUUUACGGAGUUGACGAUUGACGGAGCGAAGCGACGUCAAAGCGUUCAUUAAAGUCGAGUUGGCUUAGGGAUACGUUCGUUGGGUAGGGGAGCGUUCUGUAAGCCUGUGAAGGUGUGUCGUGAGGCAUGCUGGAGGUAUCAGAAGUGCGAAUGCUGACAUAAGUAACGAUAAAGCGGGUGAAAAGCCCGCUCGCCGGAAGACCAAGGGUUCCUGUCCAACGUUAAUCGGGGCAGGGUGAGUCGACCCCUAAGGCGAGGCCGAAAGGCGUAGUCGAUGGGAAACGGGUUAAUAUUCCCGUACUUGGUGUUACUGCGAAGGGGGGACGGAGAAGGCUAUGUUGGCCGGGCGACGGUUGUCCCGGUUUAAGCGUGUAGGUGUGUGUUCCAGGUAAAUCCGGUUCACUUUAACACUGAGGCGUGACGACGAGGCACUACGGUGCUGAAGCAACAAAUGCCCUGCUUCCAGGAAAAGCCUCUAAGCAUCAGGUAACAUCAAAUCGUACCCCAAACCGACACAGGUGGUCAGGUAGAGAAUACCAAGGCGCUUGAGAGAACUCGGGUGAAGGAACUAGGCAAAAUGGUGCCGUAACUUCGGGAGAAGGCACGCUGACACGUAGGUGAAGUGAUUUACUCAUGGAGCUGAAGUCAGUCGAAGAUACCAGCUGGCUGCAACUGUUUAUUAAAAACACAGCACUGUGCAAACACGAAAGUGGACGUAUACGGUGUGACGCCUGCCCGGUGCCGGAAGGUUAAUUGAUGGGGUCAGCGCAAGCGAAGCUCCUGAUCGAAGCCCCGGUAAACGGCGGCCGUAACUAUAACGGUCCUAAGGUAGCGAAAUUCCUUGUCGGGUAAGUUCCGACCUGCACGAAUGGCGUAAUGAUGGCCAGGCUGUCUCCACCCGAGACUCAGUGAAAUUGAACUCGCUGUGAAGAUGCAGUGUACCCGCGGCAAGACGGAAAGACCCCGUGAACCUUUACUAUAGCUUGACACUGAACAUUGAGCCUUGAUGUGUAGGAUAGGUGGGAGGCUUUGAAGUGUGGACGCCAGUCUGCAUGGAGCCGACCUUGAAAUACCACCCUUUAAUGUUUGAUGUUCUAACGUGGACCCGUAAUCCGGGUUGCGGACAGUGUCUGGUGGGUAGUUUGACUGGGGCGGUCUCCUCCUAAAGAGUAACGGAGGAGCACGAAGGUUGGCUAAUCCUGGUCGGACAUCAGGAGGUUAGUGCAAUGGCAUAAGCCAGCUUGACUGCGAGCGUGACGGCGCGAGCAGGUGCGAAAGCAGGUCAUAGUGAUCCGGUGGUUCUGAAUGGAAGGGCCAUCGCUCAACGGAUAAAAGGUACUCCGGGGAUAACAGGCUGAUACCGCCCAAGAGUUCAUAUCGACGGCGGUGUUUGGCACCUCGAUGUCGGCUCAUCACAUCCUGGGGCUGAAGUAGGUCCCAAGGGUAUGGCUGUUCGCCAUUUAAAGUGGUACGCGAGCUGGGUUUAGAACGUCGUGAGACAGUUCGGUCCCUAUCUGCCGUGGGCGCUGGAGAACUGAGGGGGGCUGCUCCUAGUACGAGAGGACCGGAGUGGACGCAUCACUGGUGUUCGGGUUGUCAUGCCAAUGGCACUGCCCGGUAGCUAAAUGCGGAAGAGAUAAGUGCUGAAAGCAUCUAAGCACGAAACUUGCCCCGAGAUGAGUUCUCCCUGAGACUUAGAGUCUCCUGAAGGAACGUUGAAGACGACGACGUUGAUAGGCCGGGUGUGUAAGCGCAGCGAUGCGUUGAGCUAACCGGUACUAAUGAACCGUGAGGCUUAACCUUACAACGCCGAAGAUGUUUUGGCG
RNAcentral lists this ribosomal RNA (2998 nucleotides) under Salmonella enterica subsp. enterica serovar Typhimurium str. SL1344. RNAcentral's name for it is "bacterial LSU rRNA". It matches the Rfam family "Bacterial large subunit ribosomal RNA". Lineage: Bacteria; Pseudomonadati; Pseudomonadota; Gammaproteobacteria; Enterobacterales; Enterobacteriaceae. The record is from RNAcentral.